GGGCCAAGGGGGGAGGACUACACAUGCAAGUCGAACGGUAGCACAGAGAGCUUGCUCUCGGGUGACGAGUGGCGGACGGGUGAGUAAUGUCUGGGAAACUGCCUGAUGGAGGGGGAUAACUACUGGAAACGGUAGCUAAUACCGCAUAACGUCGCAAGACCAAAGAGGGGGACCUUCGGGCCUCUUGCCAUCAGAUGUGCCCAGAUGGGAUUAGCUAGUAGGUGGGGUAACGGCUCACCUAGGCGACGAUCCCUAGCUGGUCUGAGAGGAUGACCAGCCACACUGGAACUGAGACACGGUCCAGACUCCUACGGGAGGCAGCAGUGGGGAAUAUUGCACAAUGGGCGCAAGCCUGAUGCAGCCAUGCCGCGUGUAUGAAGAAGGCCUUCGGGUUGUAAAGUACUUUCAGCGGGGAGGAAGGUGUUGAGGUUAAUAACCUCAUCAAUUGACGUUACCCGCAGAAGAAGCACCGGCUAACUCCGUGCCAGCAGCCGCGGUAAUACGGAGGGUGCAAGCGUUAAUCGGAAUUACUGGGCGUAAAGCGCACGCAGGCGGUCUGUCAAGUCGGAUGUGAAAUCCCCGGGCUCAACCUGGGAACUGCAUUCGAAACUGGCAGGCUAGAGUCUUGUAGAGGGGGGUAGAAUUCCAGGUGUAGCGGUGAAAUGCGUAGAGAUCUGGAGGAAUACCGGUGGCGAAGGCGGCCCCCUGGACAAAGACUGACGCUCAGGUGCGAAAGCGUGGGGAGCAAACAGGAUUAGAUACCUGUGGUAGUCCAAA
This 777-nucleotide ribosomal RNA is filed under the name Klebsiella oxytoca. Its description in RNAcentral is "bacterial SSU rRNA". It matches the Rfam family "Bacterial small subunit ribosomal RNA", at positions 32 to 799 of the family's 1533-position model. Lineage: Bacteria; Pseudomonadati; Pseudomonadota; Gammaproteobacteria; Enterobacterales; Enterobacteriaceae. The record is from RNAcentral.